AACGUGCGCACUUAACUGCUGCCCCACUAGGCCGGCCCCUAGGAGUUAGAUUUGACACAUACUCCAGUCCAACUUCUCCAGAGGUUGGAGGGUUUGUGGAACAUGCCAUUCUUCCCCGGCUCCUGACCAAGCACCAGGAACUCACAGGGACAGAGUGUGGGGACCUUCCCAGGAGGAUCAUCAGCACAUCCAAACCAGUUCCUAUGUCCUGAGGGCCUGUCUUCUGCUCCCGCAGACUUUGCAGGACCACUGGCUGGCACCUCCCCGGGCAGGCCUGGCGCCUAACAGAUCCCUACAGCUAGUGGAUGCUCAAGAUGCUAUGGGUGAUGAGCCAACGUCUACAGCCUCCUCCAAGACAAGCCUUUCGGUCCUGGCCUCUGGGGAUCUGUUUUUGAAGCAGGAGGUCAUUUGGCACUUAUUGUGGGCUCUGCAGUUGUCAAGUAAAAACAAGGGCCCAACCCAGGCCUUGGCUUCCAGGAGGCACUCAGCAUGUGUCAUGUGAAUGAAGCGACAGUCCUUCCUGUAAGAGUCUGCUUUCCUGAGUUGCUGGCAGUCAGUCAUCCAGCAUCAGAGUCCCUCACCAACACGAACACUCAAGCCGGAGGAAGGGAUUUUGAUAAAUGAGAAGCCCGAUUUUCAGAACCCCAAACCAAACUGCCUUCAAGCAAACUAGAGUAAAAUUCUGUUACUAACCUUUUGAUCUGAGGCUUUUAAACUCUUGUGACUCGACCGACAGUAAAAAAACACAAUUUACAUCACUAGUACGCAUGUAUAUAUCCACAUCUAUAACUGAGUGUCAACAAAACAGUGCCAUUUCAGUUGCAUUUUUUGUUCUGCACUUGCUUUUAAGUCUAUGACCCAGUAAAUUGAUUUCAAGACCCACAAACGGGUCAUCACCCGCUUUGAUAAACAUUGCUUUAGGUGACUCUGGUUGGAUAAACAUGAGAAAUCAGAUCCUCCUCCAAACACGCAAACAAAAAAGUAUCUAUUACCUGUGUGCCCAGUCAUUCAGGGGGCAAGCUCUCCUUUCCCACUAGAACAGCCCAGCCAGAAGGGUCUGAUGGGCUCUGGACCACAGCUGCUUGGAUGAAUCUGGGCCCCGCAGGACCAGGAAUCAAGUGAAACUUGUGUCGGUCCCGACAUCAGAGACCGACACAAGAGGCCCCGGUCUUUGCUUCCUUCCUCCUUAAACCCUCACCAUUCCCGUGCCUGGAAACCGCCACUAGAGAGCCUGAUGCUUCUCGAGCCUACAUCUAUCCCAGCUGGACUUCAGCCGGCCUUCCUCUGAGAGGACAUUUUAAAGCAAACACUGGGAUCGUCCAGCUUCUACACUGUAAAGUUUGUUUUAUGCUACACCGUCCGUAGUAAACCUAUGCUCUCUGUGAAGGCAAGAAACACUUGAGUUCCCCUCCCGUACCCAAAUACUUAAAGUUUCUGGCUCUCCUUUCCAGAUACACACAGAAUUUACACAGGCGAGAGGCAGUGGCAGUGGGGUGGCCUGACACUAGCACAACUUGACACUUUUUAUUGUAUAGGACAAUGGUUACAGACCACAAAGAUUCAGGAAGACCCACUGCUUGGGCCCAAAAAGAGACAAGACUCCCCGUGUCAGUUCAGUCCUCUGGGCUGUGAGGGGACAGGCUUUUUCUUACAUGGGUCUGGUAGGAAAUCCACGACAGUACUCAGUACAACGAGAGCCUCAGCUGAGCCCAGCUGCGUGAAGGGGCACAGAAAAUGCAA
This is a long non-coding RNA of Equus caballus (horse), 1740 nucleotides long. RefSeq lists it as uncharacterized. The record is from RefSeq and is a predicted model, not a curated record. NCBI's taxonomy places the organism in Eukaryota, Metazoa, Chordata, Mammalia, Perissodactyla, Equidae.